GCGCCGCCGCGCCGAUGGUACUGCGACUUAAGUCGUGGGAGAGUAGGUCACCGCCAAAC
This 59-nucleotide ribosomal RNA is filed under the name Pontivivens marinum. Lineage: Bacteria; Pseudomonadati; Pseudomonadota; Alphaproteobacteria; Rhodobacterales; Paracoccaceae. The record is from RNAcentral.